GUGGUGAAGAGGACAAAGCGGAUCGUGUAUUAUUCUGCUGCCAUGUUUGUUGAACUUUCUGUGGACGCCACCGUCGAACUGAGUCACCGUUAUAAACCAUUUUAAUGGAAAGAGUCCGAACUACAAACCGUCUUCAGACACCGCCGACAGGUCGAAGCCACCGGCUGCUGUUUCCAGACCAGACAACCCGACACCCCCGAUGUCAACGUGAUUGUUGCUUCUGUGAAAGUGAAGGCUCCACUGCCGGUCCCUCCUCAGCUGCUCACCAUCACCCCUCAGCUCAGGAUAGAAGAGCACACACCUAACAUGGUGACACAAACGGACCGUUCGAGCAAGUCCGGCUUCUCUG
Epinephelus lanceolatus (giant grouper) is the source of this 349-nucleotide non-coding RNA. The record is from RefSeq and is a predicted model, not a curated record. NCBI's taxonomy places the organism in Eukaryota, Metazoa, Chordata, Actinopteri, Perciformes, Serranidae.